AAGAUACUAGUAAAAAUAUUACCCUGCCUUGUCAAGGCAAAGUCGCAAGUUAAAACCUUGCGUAUCUUA
RNAcentral lists this transfer RNA (69 nucleotides) under Gymnotus carapo (banded knifefish). RNAcentral's name for it is "tRNA-Asp". It matches the Rfam family "tRNA". Rfam says of the family: Transfer RNA (tRNA) molecules are approximately 80 nucleotides in length. Their secondary structure includes four short double-helical elements and three loops (D, anti-codon, and T loops). RNAcentral also lists the same sequence under 1 other name. Lineage: Eukaryota; Metazoa; Chordata; Actinopteri; Gymnotiformes; Gymnotidae. The record is from RNAcentral.